UUCGCCUUUUACUAAAGAUUUCCGUGGAGAGGAACAGUUGUGAGUGUUCAACCAAUUUUUUGAGGUCUCGAUUUUUUCGAGGCU
Molecule: small nuclear RNA, 84 nt
Filed under: Sus scrofa (pig)
Lineage: Eukaryota; Metazoa; Chordata; Mammalia; Artiodactyla; Suidae
Description: U5 spliceosomal RNA (ENSSSCG00030044697.1)
Rfam family: U5 spliceosomal RNA
About the family: U5 RNA is a component of both types of known spliceosome.
Source: RNAcentral